This 468-nucleotide ribosomal RNA is filed under the name uncultured bacterium. RNAcentral's name for it is "partial 16S ribosomal RNA". It matches the Rfam family "Bacterial small subunit ribosomal RNA", at positions 28 to 507 of the family's 1533-position model. The record is from RNAcentral.
AACGAACGUUGGCGGCGUGGAUUAGGCAUGCAAGUCGAACGCGAAUCCCUGGGCAACUGGGGAGGAGAGUGGCGAAAGGGGCAGUAAGGCGUGGGUAACCUACCCUCCGGGCCGGGAUAGCUUCGGAAAACGAAGGGAAUAACGGGCGACGCCACGAGGUCGCAUGGUUUUGGUGCCAAAAGGUCGGCGCCGGGGGGGGGGCUCACGGGGUUUUAGCUAGACGGCGGGGUAACGGCCCACCGGGGCAAAGAUGCCUAGCAGGUGUGAGAGCACGACCUGCGCCACUGGAACUGAGACACUGGCCAGACACCUACGGGUGGCUGCAGUCGAGGAUCUUCGGCAAUGGGCGCAAGCCUGACCGAGCGACGCCGCGUGUGCGAUGAAGGCCUUCGGGUUGUAAAGCACUGUCGAGGGGGAGGAAGCCGCAAGGUUGACCUAUCCCUGGAGGAAGCACGGGCUAAGUUCGUG